This 203-nucleotide unclassified non-coding RNA is filed under the name uncultured Sebacinales. RNAcentral's name for it is "sequence contains ITS2". The record is from RNAcentral. Lineage: Eukaryota; Fungi; Basidiomycota; Agaricomycetes; Sebacinales.
UAAUCUCACCAUCCAACUCUUUGUUGGCAUGUCAUGGAUUUGGAUGCUGCCGUGUCACAACGGCUCAUCUGAAAUGCCUGAGUACAUCCUGGAUUUGUGAUGUGUUCGGUGUGAUAAACUUUCACCGUCUCUGACCCCAGCGGUCACACUCACCUGACCCAAGGCUCUGUGCUUCCAACUGUCUUGAUCAGACAAUUUUGACA